This 422-nucleotide long non-coding RNA is filed under the name Homo sapiens (human). Its description in RNAcentral is "HSALNT0344555". The record is from RNAcentral. Lineage: Eukaryota; Metazoa; Chordata; Mammalia; Primates; Hominidae.
GGGGGUUAAUCUUUUAACCUCAGGCCUGAUCAUCAGGGGCACCAGCUGGUCUUGCCACUGACUUCAUUCCUGUUGUUUUUCAACUUUUACUUCCUGCUCCUCUUCAGACAGGAGACAGUAAGAGAAAUGGCCUGUCUCCUCAGCGGCACAAUGGACUUUAGACAUCGCGCCUGUUUUGUACUCUCCAAGCCGGACUUCUCUACUCGCUGGCCUGGCGCUGAUGCCCAGAGGCCCCCUGUGCUUGUGGUCGUGGCCUUAGACAGUUCCCUGCCCUUUGUUCCAGCCCCGCCACACAGUCUGCACGGCCUCCACCACAGCUCUGGUGAGCCUCUUGGCCAGCUCCUGGUGACAGCGUGCACCUCCCUGCUCUGAGAAGGUCUCCCUCUCCUCUCUGCCCACCCUGUACAGAGACAUCUUUCAAG